This 598-nucleotide ribosomal RNA is filed under the name uncultured Pseudomonadota bacterium. RNAcentral's name for it is "bacterial SSU rRNA". Lineage: Bacteria; Pseudomonadati; Pseudomonadota. The record is from RNAcentral.
CCCRURAAUGUAAUACGACUCACUAUAGGGCGAAUUGGGCCCCGACGUCGCAUGCUCCCGGCCGCCAUGGCGGCCGCGGGAAUUCGAUUAGAGUUUGAUCCUGGCUCAGAACGAACGCUGGCGGCGUGCUUAACACAUGCAAGUCGAGCGAGAAAGGGGGGGCAACCCCCUGAGUAGAGCGGCGCACGGGUGAGUAACGCGUGGGUAACCUACCCCCAGGCGGGGGAUAACUACUCGAAAGGGUGGCUAAUACCGCAUGAGACCACGGGAUCUUCGGAUCCUGAGGCUAAAGAUCGCACCGGCUUGCCGGUGCUGUCACCAGGGGAUGGGCCCGCGUCCGAUUAGCUAGUUGGCGAGGUAAUGGCUCACCAAGGCUUCGAUCGGUAGCUGGUCUGAGAGGAUGAUCAGCCACACUGGAACUGAAACACGGUCCAGACUCCUACGGGAGGCAGCAGUGAGGAAUAUUGCGCAAUGGGGGAAACCCUGACGCAGCAACGCCGCGUGGGUGAAGAAGGCCUUCGGGUCGUAAAGCCCUUUCGGACGGGACSAACSCUCCGCGGUGMCAAGCCSCGGAGUCUGMCGGUACCGUAGGAAGAAU